This 253-nucleotide ribosomal RNA is filed under the name uncultured bacterium. RNAcentral's name for it is "partial 16S ribosomal RNA". It matches the Rfam family "Bacterial small subunit ribosomal RNA", at positions 524 to 776 of the family's 1533-position model. The record is from RNAcentral.
CACGGGGGGAGCAAGCGUUGUUCGGAAUCACUGGGCGUAAAGGGCGUGUAGGCGGUCAGGUAAGUGGGACGCGAAAUCCCUCGGCUCACCCGAGGACCUGCGUCCCAUACUGCUUGGCUUGAGUAUGGGAGAGGUUGAGGGAAUUCCUGGUGUAGCGGUGAGAUGCGUAGAUAUCAGGAGGAACACCGGUGGCGAAGGCGCUCAUCUGGCCCAAUACUGACGCUGAGGCGCGAAAGCUAGGGGAGCAAACGGG